RNAcentral lists this ribosomal RNA (495 nucleotides) under uncultured bacterium. RNAcentral's name for it is "partial 16S ribosomal RNA". It matches the Rfam family "Bacterial small subunit ribosomal RNA", at positions 28 to 507 of the family's 1533-position model. The record is from RNAcentral.
GACGAACGCUGGCGGCGUGCCUAAUACAUGCAAGUAGAACGCUGAAGGAGGAGCUUGCUCUUCUGGAUGAGUUGCGAACGGGUGAGUAACGCGUAGGUAACCUGCCUGGUAGCGGGGGAUAACUAUUGGAAACGAUAGCUAAUACCGCAUAAGAGUAGAUGUUGCAUGACAUUUACUUAAAAGGUGCAAUUGCAUCACUACCAGAUGGACCUGCGUUGUAUUAGCUAGUUGGUGGGGUAACGGCUUACCAAGGCGACGAUACAUAGCCGACCUGAGAGGGUGAUCGGCCACACUGGGACUGAGACACGGCCCAGACUCCUACGGGAGGCAGCAGUAGGGAAUCUUCGGCAAUGGACGGAAGUCUGACCGAGCAACGCCGCGUGAGUGAAGAAGGUUUUCGGAUCGUAAAGCUCUGUUGUAAGAGAAGAACGAGUGUGAGAGUGGAAAGUUCACACUGUGACGGUAUCUUACCAGAAGGGGACGGCUAACUACGUG